Molecule: ribosomal RNA, 253 nt
Filed under: uncultured bacterium
Lineage: Bacteria
Description: partial 16S ribosomal RNA
Rfam family: Bacterial small subunit ribosomal RNA
Source: RNAcentral
UACGUAGGGUGCGAGCGUUGUCCGGAAUUACUGGGCGUAAAGGGCUCGUAGGUGGUCAACUAAGUCGGACGUGAAAUCCCUCGGCUUAACCGGGGAACUGCGUCCGAUACUGGAUGACUUGAGUUCGGGAGAGGGAUGCGGAAUUCCAGGUGUAGCGGUGAAAUGCGUAGAUAUCUGGAGGAACACCGGUGGCGAAGGCGGCAUCCUGGACCGACACUGACGCUGAGGAGCGAAAGCCAGGGGAGCAAACGGG